UGUUCUGAGAGGUUGGUCCCCGUAGGUAGAUCUACAGUCUACUGCCUAUAAGCUCGGCCAUCAAAAC
RNAcentral lists this transfer RNA (67 nucleotides) under Maoricolpus roseus. RNAcentral's name for it is "tRNA-Tyr". Lineage: Eukaryota; Metazoa; Mollusca; Gastropoda; Turritellidae. The record is from RNAcentral.